Populus euphratica (Euphrates poplar) is the source of this 1303-nucleotide long non-coding RNA. RefSeq lists it as uncharacterized. The record is from RefSeq and is a predicted model, not a curated record. Lineage: Eukaryota; Viridiplantae; Streptophyta; Magnoliopsida; Malpighiales; Salicaceae. The transcript is spliced from 2 exons.
UUGUUUCCGCUUGACUUCCACGAAAUUAUCCUGAAUUGUCUAAUGGUACAAGUGUUCGGUGUGAUGAGUGGCUUGACGGGCUGAAGGACGAGAGAGAAGUACUGCCCCCAAAUGCAGAUGUUACUUGGACAGCUGCUGGCACUGCUGCUGCGUCCUCAUGGAAUUGAAGUAACAGUGUAGUUUAAGCCUCUAAACAAUGAUCAACCAGUUCAGUGCCCGCUUCCUGAACCUUGAAUUCUUAAUGAUGGAAGAUUGUGGAAGGAGUGAGUAUCUGCAACUGUGCAUAGAAGAGGUGACUUUCCUGUCGUGAAAGAAGGUGGGGCUCUUGAAUCUGAAUCUCUUGAAUCUAGGCCACGGCCAAACCAGUCCAUCGAUUGAUACCGCCUUCUAUCAGUGCCCUCGAGCAUAAUUUACCAAAACUACUUGAAGAAUGCAAUGCAUCCGGGAUCCGAAACCUGGUAUCAAUUUCUGAUCGGAAUGCAGCUCUGCAUAGUUCCAUACAAAAUUUGGUCUUAUUCUUUUCCUUUUUCUGUGCUUUAUCUGCUUCUGCAUAAGUUCACUGGAGAAUAUGUAAUUACCAAUGAACCAUAACAACGUUACAACUGUUCUAUGUAUGUGUAACGAGUCAAUUUUGGACGCAGAAACAUUCUCAAAAUUUGAUAGAUGUGGUCAUUUAUUACAGCUUAUGGAAAUAGUCAUUGUUUAUAUAUUCUACUUGACAAUGGAGUUUCCAGGUCCAACCAGUUGUUGGUGUCAUCAUUUCCACCCAAGUCAGGGUUAUUAUUGAAGCACAUUGUGCAUGUUGGUUUGCAUAACAGCUGCUGGAUCAGGGAAUUUACAUUUGGAUGCAACCCAGAAUGUGCCUCCUAUCUUGUGUCAAACUGUCAGCCUGUGCCUUAACGUGUUUAUUUGUCAUCCUCAACAUAACAUCUGUGGAUCAAUCCACUCGUUUCCUUGUAUGUCGAUGACAACCAAAGGAUACAUCCUGAGGGGCCAGGCUUAAUGAAUACAGUUUUGGACCAAGUGAACUAUGAGUUUUCGGUAUCCAUAAGUAGCUGGAGUCAGGGUAGCACUUUCCAUGUUACAGUGAUUCCUUGUUACAUGUAAACAGCCCUUGCACAGAUGUGUGAUCAUGCUGAAUGACUUGGAUUCAGCUGUGAUUGUGCUGGUUUGUUAGGAUGGCUGUAUCCUUGUAUCUACUGCACUCUCUUUAGUGUUUGUAGAAUGCUUUUGUAGGAUGGAUCCUAAUCCAGCUGUGACCUGUGAUUUAUCAAAAACAGAGUAAAUUCUCAUUGCAUGAAAU